Long non-coding RNA from Physcomitrium patens, 2696 nucleotides. RefSeq lists it as uncharacterized. The record is from RefSeq and is a predicted model, not a curated record. NCBI's taxonomy places the organism in Eukaryota, Viridiplantae, Streptophyta, Bryopsida, Funariales, Funariaceae.
GAUACAAUGUGGGGUGAUUUUACACAACAUCUUUUGAACCCAAUUCCAUGUCAUGUCAUGUCAGGUCCUGUGGCUUGCUUGUGCUGGUUUGCCUCGGAAAGCUCUGAACAUGAAACUUCAGAAUGGAGUUCAACAUGUUAACCAUUUCACCUCCACCAUGAGUCUAUUGUAAUGGAGCUCCCUUGUCCCGAGUCUGUCUUCGAAGUCUUGGAGAAAUGUUGAGUCGACGGCGUCGUCUUCGGUAUCUUUUACAAUUGGAUGCGAAAUGUGGCCUUGCCCCAGAAGGUGGUGGAAUGGUGCCGCCAGUUGUGGAGGUGUUGUUGCUGUUGCUGUUGCUGGCCGCGGGGAUCUCAUGCAUGAAGCCAAAGUGGACGAAACAUGAGAAACCGCAUUCGAUGACCUGGCUAAAAUUCCAUUGCCACCCUAGUGAUGCUUUGUCGAAGGUAAACAACUCGUACAUGGGGUGAAGUGGGGAAUAACAUUCUUCCUUGGAUUGGGGUGUUGCCAUUCUUGUCAACGGAAGAAUUGUUGUCAAUCCUGAAGUAUUGUGCCAACCAUUUCGAACAAGAAUGAUCGUAUUAUCACAAAAGUCACUCAAAGAAAUACCGUGAAUCAGCGUGAGCAGCGAAAGGGUGUGUUUGAUCACACAAGAGCACAAUAACGCACCCUGUAUGGCAGAAAAUGAUAAACUUGAGGGGUUUGGUGGGUGUUUCCGAUCACUUAUGUUUACAAUACCCAGUUCGAGGUCACUGAAAAGUAAAAUCUACCAGAAUACUCUCCCUGUGCCAUGUACCAGAGAUCAGCGUGUUGCUUUUAGUUUAACUGCAGUCAUCUUGCGCUUUUAUUUGCGUGUAUUUCGGUUUCGGUGUGUUAGGAAGGGUCGGCAAAGCGUGCCAACCCUAUAAGGUCACAAAAAUUUUGUCGGCCAUAUGUCUUGAUAGUCCAUACAGCUCAGGUCCGAAGACCUGCGUGGUAUAUAUAACCAACCGACCCUUUUUGACCGGUGAUGGGUUUGUGCGUACUUCAAAUAGUUUCGAUGGACCUUCAAGGCUUCCAGGAGAUAUGGGACAAUGAGAUAUUGGGGCUUAAGUUCUGAUCCAAAUCUGUGCAAUUGAGUGGGACCAAGGCAGUGGGUUUGGUUCGAUGUGAUGCUCGAUUGUGGAAUUGUAUUUAACUUAUGGGUGAAGAUGUAGGGGGCUUUUGUUUAGGUCUAAAAUUGUUGGCGUUUCGCAAUUGUGUUGUUCGUGGAGUGAGGUUACGAGAGGCGAUGGUGAUUCUGUGUCGUCGAUGCUUGUGUUCAGUCAUGGCGUGAGGUGCAUCAUGUUGUGUUCGAACGGGCGGUGAGAAUUAGAUUUUCGUGCACUUGGAGGUUGGCAACAUGCGAUGUAUGUGUGAAAACUGAGGGCAAUUUGGAUUCAUGAUUUCAGGGCUAGGGUUUAGAGUUUAGGGUUUAGGGUUGUGGAGUUGUGCUGUCCAGGAGCUUGAUUGAAGCGGGCGUUGGACAUGACCCGACUUCUUUGAUCAUCUUUUAAGGGCCGCGACGAGUAAUGGGUGGGAUUGAGAUGAGUGUCUGGGGCAGUCCAGAUUUGGAAGAAGGGAGAAUGCUGUCACAUUAGGCUUGUGCCGCACGUUUGAGCGCGCUGCCUACGUCACUUGAGCGUGAGCGAGCGCCGAGGAACAUAAGAUUGUAUGAUGGCUAAGACUCGAGGAUUGAACUCGAGCGGGCGAAUGCUAUCGAGGGCUUGCGAUUUCCGGCAAAGUUUCCCACACGUGGAUGUUGGGGUGUGCUUUCCCAACUAGGAACGUCUUAACAUCUUCUAUAACUCUCUGAUUUUCAUCGUCCUGACGCCCUAAAAGUCCAAGGCAUAGAAAAAACACAGCGAGGGUGUGUGGAACUCAAUCCUGCAGAUGUGGCUGACUUUGGAGGGGAAAUAAAUUUUUAGCGCUGCUUUAUGACAAGGGGCCUGCAAUUCCUCUCCUCCUUGACGAUGUGGUUUUGAGACCGAGCUAGGUGAAGAUGAGCGGCGAAUAAGAAAUAGGUCUCGUGCUUCGGGGGUCUGGGCAAGGAACUUAUGACUGGAGAAAGAGCCUAGUUCUUAUCGGAAACAACCGUGUUCGAUGGUGUUCGCGCACCCGAUUAUGUCAUUUCCACCUGUCAAAGAGGUCUGUUUACAAAAGUAUAUCCUCAAGCUCAAGCCAUUGACGAUGUUCCCUCGAAAUCUGGACGAAGAAAGAGAUUGUUGUUUUGAAGAACCCCGAUCUUCGUGAAGUUUGAUUGACCGUUGAUAAAUCUCCUCUCCAGUGACUGGAAUGUAACAAUUGAAGCACUUUAAGAAAGAUAGGUUGAAUCCUGGAAACUUUUACACAAGCUUGCUGUGUUUUUAAAGCCUGGCUUCGGGGUUCAAUUGUAGCUGUUUACCAAUUUACGCCAUAAAGUGCACGUGGAGCUUUCUAGGUCACGAGUCCGGUUAUUUACAUGCAACUGGAUUCCUCGAUUACAACUCUGAAGUGACAGCGCUGAUACUGUCGGGACGCACCAUUGCCAGUCAGUUCAUUCCAAGUAUAUUCCCUUUUAGCGGAAUGCCUCACUUGUGGCUUUCGUGCUUCUUGUUGGUAUUGGUUAAUGAAUCUUAAGCCAAUGAAGCGUUAACGAAGUUCUAUCAUUCAAUAUCUACAACUUUGUUUCGCUAAUUUAA